This 598-nucleotide long non-coding RNA is filed under the name Homo sapiens (human). RNAcentral's name for it is "non-protein coding lnc-CCDC74A-6:1". The record is from RNAcentral. Lineage: Eukaryota; Metazoa; Chordata; Mammalia; Primates; Hominidae.
CGCGACCUCAGUACGUAAAGCAUGCUGAGGCGGUGUCAGGUCAUUUUAGGCUCUUCAGUUUCGCGUUUGGUAUCCGGCAUGGCUGCCACCUGUUUCUGGCUGGAGCCUCGGACACUGGCUCACUGCAGUUGGUGGUGUCGACAGAGCGGUAGGAGGGCGGCGGGCAGCAGGAGCUUCUCCUGCUGGGCAGGAAGACGAGUAGAAGGGAGCGGCACCGAGGCAUGCUGGAGGCUGGAGCCUGAGCCACCCCGGCUCGCCUCGCUGCGGUUGGUGGUGACCUCGGACACUGCAGCUCGGCCAGAGUGGUAGAAAUGUCCUGGUGUAGGCUUUUCUGGCUUUGCCCGUCUAGCUGCUCCAAGCCAGGCUGGAGGAGGAGGAGAAGGAAUCACCUGUGGUACGCUGGAGCCUGCAUGUGGCGUGACUCUGCAGCUCGCCUCAUGUGAUUGGUGGCAGCCACAGAGACUGCAGCUCGACAGGAGUGGUAGGAGGGUGCCUGCGGGGGCAAGGUGGUAGGAACCUUGUAGGGUGGGCUGCUGCAUUGACGGCGACAGCAAUUGUAUUGGCAUUGGUGCUAGUGGUGGUAGUGGCAGCAAGUCUG